GAUUAUGGCUCAGGAUGAACGCUAGCUACAGGCUUAACACAUGCAAGUCGAGGGGCAGCAUUGGGAUAGCUUGCUAUUCAGAUGGCGACCGGCGCACGGGUGAGUAACGCGUAUCCAACCUUCCUGCCAGUAGGGAACAGCCCGGCGAAAGUCGGAUUAAUGCCCUAUGUUCUUCAAUGCGGACAUCUAAGUUGAAGGAAAGAUUCAUCGCUGGCAGAUGGGGAUGCGUCCGAUUAGCUUGCCGGCGGGGUAACGGCCCACCGGGGCGACGAUCGGUAGGGGUUCUGAGAGGAAGGUCCCCCACACUGGUACUGAGACACGGACCAGACUCCUACGGGAGGCAGCAGCGAGGAAUAUUGGUCAAUGGGCGUAAGCCUGAACCAGCCAAGUAGCGUGCCAGGAUGACGGCCCUACGGGUUGUAAACUGCUUUUAUGCGGGGAUAAAGUGCGGCACGUGUGCCGCUUUGCAGGUACCGCAUGAAUAAGGACCGGCUAAUUCCGUGCCAGCCGCGGC
Molecule: ribosomal RNA, 514 nt
Filed under: uncultured bacterium
Lineage: Bacteria
Description: bacterial SSU rRNA
Rfam family: Bacterial small subunit ribosomal RNA
Source: RNAcentral